CACCAACAAAAACCCUGUGCCUUUUCCUCAAAUGCAGAUGACCUGUACUCCAAACAGCUAUUAGAACCAAAUGGGAUUUUAAAAGUCAGAAAGAGAACAGUCUGAUCAGAGUCACUUCUCCAGCAUGCCCAGAAGACUGAGGCCCACAACCCACUUUCAGAAUUCAAAAGGCUGAACCAUUAGGGACAAGAAAGGUGAGCAAUGGUUGUUCCCAAAUUUAAGCUCCUGCAUCCAAAUAUGAAAGUCUACAGGCUACGAGAUAGCAACCUUCACAUCCUUGUUGCACGUGUGCCAGAAAAG
RNAcentral lists this long non-coding RNA (300 nucleotides) under Gallus gallus (chicken). RNAcentral describes it as "long non-coding RNA NONGGAT008903". Lineage: Eukaryota; Metazoa; Chordata; Aves; Galliformes; Phasianidae. The record is from RNAcentral.